This 106-nucleotide ribosomal RNA is filed under the name Propithecus coquereli (Coquerel's sifaka). The record is from RNAcentral. Lineage: Eukaryota; Metazoa; Chordata; Mammalia; Primates; Indriidae.
GUCUACGGCCAUACCACCCUGAACAUGGCCGAUCCCAUCUGAUCUCCAAAGCUAAGCAACGUUGGGUCUGGUUAGUACUUGGACAGGAGACUGGGUGCCAUAGCCU